Molecule: long non-coding RNA, 4159 nt
Organism: Ailuropoda melanoleuca (giant panda)
Lineage: Eukaryota; Metazoa; Chordata; Mammalia; Carnivora; Ursidae
Exons: 5
Source: RefSeq, a predicted model, not a curated record
CGGAGCCGGAGCGGCGCGGGCGGCGGCGCAUCGAUGCGCUGCGGGCUCGAUUGCGUCUCCCUGGGCCAGCUCUUGGGCCGGGAAUGGGGCGGGGCGGGGCUGGCUCCGGGCGCUGCCGGGCGGCAGUGGUGGGGGUGCGGGGGCGGCCGCCAGGCCCACGGUCCCCGAGGUGGCGCUGCUCCUGGGCGCGCCGGCUGGGGCCCGGGGACUCCCUUGGGCCCCGCGUCUGUUAGUCCCGGCGAGGGCCGGAGCCCUGCGCCCUGGGACUGGCUGCCUGAGCGUUCCGGGAGCUGCAAACCCCGGCCUCUUUCCUUCCUUUUUUCCUUCCUUCCUUCUUUACUUCCUUCCUUCCUUUUUUUUAUGUUUCCUUUUCUUGUGUUUCUUUUCCCCUUUUCUUCUGCCCCCUCUGUAUCUUUUUUUCUUUGUGAUUGUUUAUGCAAGUUUGUUUUAAAAGUUCACAGGCAUGCUUUCUUUUCUUUUAGACAAGGAGACCGUGAUCUCACCCAGACGGUAAGAUCAAAAGUCUCCGCUCGCCCCCAGCCUGCGGGCUUGGGCUCGGUCCAGACGCCUCCUUGAAUGCAGAUGUGCUGCUGCCGUCCUCCCGGGCUAUAAAGCCGCCUCCAGCGCCUUCGCGCGCGCAGGAGCACUCGGAGUUGCGGGGUGCGGACCCCGGGCGGUUGCGGGGGAGUCGGAAUCAGGCUGCGGCUGGGCUCCUGGGCUGGUCUUGUGUGUGGCGGACUCGGGGGCGGGAGCGCGGCGAGCAGCUGGUGCCUGCGGCGGCAGAGGCUAGAGCGACUGCCCCUCCAGGCCCGGGAGAGGGAGACGCGGCCGUGGGGCGUGAAACGCUUCUUGCGAACGAGGAAACGGCCUCACCUGUCGGCCAGGACAAAUGAGACUUGAAAAUGGGCCAGAGUCAUUCUCCAACAGUGAAAUUUGUCAAGGAGUCACUCCCGUCUCAAAUGUCCAGAAAAGCUAGCAGCUGCCUCUCGAGGAUGGCGCUAUCUAGGGCACGUCACGUCGUUGAGAGUCAAGAAGGUGGACAGUUAAGUAGUGACUGGAAUGUGCACCAUCCAGGUCAGAUGGAAAGUAGAAGCCUGGAAGAUCUGACACUCUCAUUGAUUUGCUCUCUGCCAUCACUACUCACGAGAGGAAGAAAUGUGACUUCAAAAUUGCAAUUAGGAACCAGCCCGCUAAGGGUUCCUUGCGCGAGCUCCCCUGCUGUGCUGAUCACAGGCCUGCCUCUUCUCACUUCCUGAGGAACGUCUGAUUGUGCUGCCCUCACCUCUCUUCUGGUGAUGAUGUGAGAUGAUAAAGUGACCCCGUGAUGAGAUGAAGUGGGCAUUGUGACGGAGCAUUUGCGACUAGGGGCUUCCUGUCCCUACAUCAGCAGGAUCAACUGCUUCAGGAACAUGCUUGACCUCGAAUAACUGAAACCACAGAAAGCAGAACCGCGGAUAAGGGGGCUUCUCUAAUAUCUCUAGUAUUUUCGCAGAAUGACUUCUCUGCAGGAAAAUCUCUAUAAAACUUACUUUUUUUUGGAAUGCAAAGUUGUUUUGCUAUUAUGAAAAACGCCACUGUGAGCACACUCAUGUGUUGUGCACACGCGUGGAAGAGCCCGUCCAUGAUACGUAUAUGGGAAGUGACGUUGCUCGGUCAUCCGGCGUGGAGAUCUACAACUCCAACUGUUCUCCAAAGAGAUGAUGUCACUUUUCACUCCCGGAAGCUAUUUUUAAGUCUUUCCAUUGUUCUAGCUCCUUGUCAGUCUAUGAUAUUAUUAGCUUUUCCCCCCCUCGUUUUUCAUGCUUCCUAAUCUAGGGAUUGUGGUUGCUGUCUCCCUGUGUUUAGCUUGCGUCCCCAUGAAUGCCAAAGAGAUUGAGCACUUGGUAUGUGUGUGGUCCCUUGGAUUUCCUUUUCGUGAGGACCCUGUCCGAGUCCUUUUCCCGUUUUCUGUUGGAGGUACGUGUCCUGUUGUUUCACAGAUGUUGUUUCAAGUUGCUUCGUCACCUGAAAUGGUUCAAGGAGAUCCCUAAGUGCACUCCUGAGGAUGCUUUAGUCGGCAGGUGAUAUAGCCGCCGACUCACACUGGCUUAAGGAAAUUGUCUAGUGGUGAAUUCUGGCUCGAAUAUACAAGCAGAAACCCGUUUGCUCCGCCCUCUGACCCCUCAGCUCUGUGUUCUCAGCGUCCCCUCAUCCUCAGUGGUCUCGUGAUUUCAAGAGAGCCUCAAAUGGUGAGUAGGACAUCUUGCUUCUUUGUCCACAUCCAGCAGAAAAGAGAAUCAGAAACUUCUCACUGAUCCACGUGAUCUCCAUCCUUCCUUUCAGUUUUCAGCGCUCCAUUCUGCGGACCGGUCGCGGUCACCAGGGAAUGCCAUGCCUUGACCGGGUUCAUGAGCAUCCCUUGCAGGAGAAGAUGAUAAAGGAUGGGGGGGGAGGGUCACCCUCAAAUGGCCAACACAUUGACUACCAAGGCUGCAGGUUUCUAAAACUCAUUUUUUAAAUUUUCAUAGAGAAAAAUUCGCUCUUUCAGUAUACAGGUCUCUGAGUCUUGACAAAUUUAUAGUCAUGGAACCACCACCACAACUAACGUUUGGAAUGGCUCCAUCACCCUGAAACACGACCUUACUGUUCUUUUGUAGUCCGCGGUCCUCCUGCCCUUCACUCCCCCAUCCCCCACUCUUGGAAGCACUGAUCCGUCCUUCCUCCCUAUAGUUUUGCCUUUUCCAAAAUGUGAUAUAAAUGGAAUUAUACAGGAUGUCACCUUUGAGUCUGCCUUAUUCACUUAAUAUAAUGAAUUUGAGAUUGACUGACCCAUAUGUGGAGCGUAUCUGUAUUUUGUAUAGAGGUCCCACUGUGUGUUUUUGCACCCACAGCCGAAGGGCAACUGAGUUGUUUCUAGUUUGGGGGUGAUAAUGAAUAAAGCUGCCCGAAACAGGGACACACAGGUUUUGCGUGAACAUAUGUUUCCAUUUCUCCUGGGUCUCAACUCCCAGAAGUGGGAUCGCUGAAUGCUGGGUCGUGUGUUAAGAGUAUGUUUCACUCUCUCAGAAGCUGCCAAACUGUUUUCCAAGGUGGCUGUAUCAGUUUGCAGCCCCACCAGCAAGGACUGAGAGUUCUUUCGCUUCUAAAGAGGUUUUAAUGGGCAUGGAAGUGUUUUGCGGAGAGUGAGGGCGCUACACAGGGCACCGACGUGGGGGCGUUCAGAGCUGUGAUUUCCAAACUCUCUGCUCCUGUAGGCUCCUCGCGCAUCCUGCUGUGUGCCGACGGGACGUUUCUAUUUCCAGGGCGUUUGCUUCUCUGAAGGGAGACAGGGAAGCAUCAUUCUACCCAUCUUACAAAUGAGCGCAUAGCACAGCCUCUCUCUCUUGAUCCAGCCUGGCUUUAGCUAGUAUCAUCAGGAGCAAGAUUCCAUGGCUUCAGGUUUUAUUCCAAAACCCACAAAGCAAAAUGAAGUACGGGCAUCUGGAGCAUUGUGAUGCUGUGUGGCAAGAAGGAGGCAAAGGAACCCAUCCAAAUGCGCAAUCGGAAUGUCAGAGCUGGCAAGGGAUGUGAGCAACUCUCACUUCAGAUGCAGGAACCUAUCACACAUCUGGGUCCCUAAGCCCGGGACUACGCCUCCCGGAUGCAGGGCAGGGUCCCACCAAAGGGGAGCUGGAACAGGCUUAUGAGUCAGGGUCCCUGUGUGCUCAGGAGCAGGGAUCAGGCUGACCUGCUGGGGAGCUGGGGCCGUAGCCCCUGCUUACAGCCCCCACACCUCCUCUUCUUUCAUCUGAGUGCCCAUCUCGAAGGCACCUUCACAUUCCAAACGUCCUGAGAAUAUGUUUAAUUAGAACUUGGCCAUACAGCCUUUUAAAAUAAAACAGAAGGGACCAGCUAAUUAUAUCGCUCAGCAUUCUGUGGCAAACAUAUAUUUUUUUAAUAAAACACUUUCCUAACCAGAGUAAUCCCUGGAGAUGCAAAUCCUCAUUUAUAAGAAGUUUCCCAAAGGGAGUUUAGGAGAAGAUGCCCUUAUAAAGGAAAGAGACAAAGAAAGUGGGGAAAUGUCUUCAAAGAGCUUUUAAAAGCUACACUCAUUCUAAGGUUGAGCUAUUUUAAAGAUGCAAAUUUUUAUUUCAAAUGUCUUAUAAUUCUUCCCAGUAUUUUUGAUAAUUUAUAUCCCUUC